GUGUGUGUGUGUGUGUGUGUGUGUGUGUGUUUGUGUGUGUGUGUGUGUGUGUGUGUAUACAAGUGAGUGGACAGAUGAAAGAAAGUGGCACUCA
Molecule: long non-coding RNA, 94 nt
Organism: Octopus sinensis (East Asian common octopus)
Lineage: Eukaryota; Metazoa; Mollusca; Cephalopoda; Octopoda; Octopodidae
Exons: 3
Source: RefSeq, a predicted model, not a curated record